Enhydra lutris kenyoni (northern sea otter) is the source of this 674-nucleotide RNA transcript. It is a transcript of the gene named replication protein A 14 kDa subunit pseudogene, with no coding region annotated. The record is from RefSeq and is a predicted model, not a curated record. The transcript has a single exon. Lineage: Eukaryota; Metazoa; Chordata; Mammalia; Carnivora; Mustelidae.
UGUUUCCUGCCGGCCGCAGGUCUCGCACCGCGACCAUGCUGGAUGUCCUGGAGUCGCCCAGGUCGCGCGUCAACGCCAGCAUGCUAGCUCAGUUCAUCGACCAGCCGGUCUGCUUCGUAGGAAGGCUGGAAAAGAUUCAUCCCACUGGAAAAAUGUUUAUUCUUUCAGAUGGAGAAGGAAAAAAUGGAACUAUUGAGUUGAUGGAGCCCCUUGAUGAAGAAAUCUCUGGAAUUGUGGAAGUAGUUGGAAGAGUAACAGCCAAGGCAACCAUUAUGUGUGCAUCAUAUGUCCAGUUUAAAGAAGAUAACCAUCCUUUUGAUCUUGGACUUUACAAUGAAGCUGUGAAAAUUACUCAUGAGUUCCCUCAGUUUCUUGCUUUGGGGGUGGUGCAAUAUGAUUGAUCUUGAUAAACACACUGAAGACUGUUACAGGAAGCCCCUGAUAGUUGAGGGGAAGAUUUCUGUGAUUUUUAAUAUUUAAUUUGUUCUCCUUUUAAUUUCAUUUACCUAACCUUAUUAGAUAUUGCAGUAUCCCACUUUUGAUGGAACCCGUCUGUAUAUUGCAAGUUAAUUCCUCAUAAAGAAUCACUUCUCCAGUGUACGGUCAGACCAGAUGUAAGAACAAAGCAGUUGCCUUGAGUUUAGUUUUGUGUUUUAUUAAUAAAAACUGAAACA